CAAGUGCGACCUCUGAACGGGUUAUUAUAAUAUGAAUAAAAAAAUUUCAGAUUUUGGAUUGGCACGAAUCGUUGAAGUGACAGAGUAUAGCAAAUACGCACAAGGUCGUGGAAACACGUAUGUCUCCAAAGUAUGCCAUGGGUGCGAUAUUUUCUGAAAAAUCUGAUGUCUAUAGUUUUGACGUCUUGCUAUUGGAGAUUAUCGCCAACAAAAAGAAUACUAGCUUCUAUUGCAACGAGGAACAGCAUGGAUUCUUAGCUCAUGCAACAUUCACGAUAUGACUUUUGCCGGGUUCGGCACUUAUGGAAUGAAGGCAGGGGACUGGACUUGCUAGAUGAAGUACUGUUGGAUUCAUAUUCGUCCUCAGAAGCAAUGAGAUGCAUACACAUCGG
Malus domestica (apple) is the source of this 392-nucleotide non-coding RNA. The record is from RefSeq and is a predicted model, not a curated record. NCBI's taxonomy places the organism in Eukaryota, Viridiplantae, Streptophyta, Magnoliopsida, Rosales, Rosaceae.